This 496-nucleotide ribosomal RNA is filed under the name uncultured bacterium. RNAcentral describes it as "partial 16S ribosomal RNA". It matches the Rfam family "Bacterial small subunit ribosomal RNA", at positions 30 to 523 of the family's 1533-position model. The record is from RNAcentral.
AUUGAACGCUGGCGGAAUGCUUUACACAUGCAAGUCGAACGGUAGAGGGGGCAACCCCUCGAGAGUGGCGAACGGGUGAGUAAUAUAUCGGAACGUGCCCAGUCGUGGGGGAUAACGUAGCGAAAGUUACGCUAAUACCGCAUACGAUCUAAGGAUGAAAGCGGGGGAUCGCAAGACCUCGCGCGAUUGGAGCGGCCGAUAUCAGAUUAGGUAGUUGGUGGGGUAAAGGCUCGCCAAGCCAACGAUCUGUAGCUGGUCUGAGAGGACGACCAGCCACACUGGAACUGAGACACGGUCCAGACUCCUACGGGAGGCAGCAGUGGGGAAUUUUGGACAAUGGACGCAAGUCUGAUCCGGCCAUUCCGCGUGCAGGAUGAAGGCCCUCGGGUUGUAAACUGCUUUUGUACGGAACGAAAAGGUCUCUCUUAAUACGGGGGACUCAUGACGGUACCGUAAGAAUAAGCACCGGCUAACUACGUGCCAGCCGCCGCGGUAA